Carassius gibelio (silver crucian carp) is the source of this 1034-nucleotide long non-coding RNA. RefSeq lists it as uncharacterized. NCBI's taxonomy places the organism in Eukaryota, Metazoa, Chordata, Actinopteri, Cypriniformes, Cyprinidae. The record is from RefSeq and is a predicted model, not a curated record. The transcript is spliced from 7 exons.
GAAAUGACUGACGGUGCUUACUGAGAAGUUAGUGAUGAAAUGCUAAAAGCUGGCUGCAGUUGUCCCUGCUCUCUUAUGAAGAUGGCGUUUUGAAUCCCAUCUCUAUCAUUCCUCUGAUAGAUGGAGGGACAGAGGGCUUUAAGGGGAAUACAAGAGUGAUCCUGCUGGGAAUGACAGCCUGUAUAGACUGCACACUGGAGCUUUACCCACCACAAAUGUUGUUGGUCUGGAUGGUGAAAACCCAGAGCAUGUUCAGUGGGUGUUCCAGGAGUCUAUAAAGAGAGCAGCUGAGUUUAAUAUCACUGGUGUCACUUACAGACUCACUCAAGGUGUGGUUAAACGAAUCAUCCCUGCUGUUGCAUCCACAAAUACAGUAAUCUCUGGACAACUAUUCAGCAUCUAGACGGGUUCCUCAAAAACUGCCAUUUCCACCAUCUGCUAAACUGCAAGAAGUCCUGGACUAACUGACUGAGAAUGCUUCUAUUCCCCAGCUAUCACUGCAACACUUGAAGGCAAAAAUAAAACACUGUACCUGGAGACCAUUGCCUAAAUUGAAGAAAGAACUAGACCCAAUCUUCACAAAACUUUGAAAGUUGAGAUCCUUUCCAGCCAUGAGAACCACAAAAGCACAACUGAAAUUGAAUUCCCAAAUGGUCAAAAGGUGGCAAGCAUUAUCAUUUUAUUCACCAUGUCCGUGUUUCACCAUGAUUUGUGUGUAUGUGUGUUGAAGAGCUGGGAUUGGCUGAUGGAUAGGAGUUAGCUGUUGCUGAUGUCACCACUCCUCAGACUGUCCUCUUCAGGCUCAACUACAUGUCAGAAACAUGCAGCAUUAAAUAUUCACAAAAUUAAUUUAAUGGCACAGGUUCCUCAAAUUCACCUUCAACAAGUUUAUUUGCAUGAUAUACCUGAAUAACUCCCUUCAUGUGUAGAGUCUGUAUGUGCUUUUUUCUUCAGACUGAAAUAUCAAGUAUAUUUUUCUGAUUAAUAUGUAACUUUAUGAGGACUGUUGUCAUUUUAUCAACCAGCAAUCCAGA